RNAcentral lists this long non-coding RNA (9600 nucleotides) under Citrus x clementina. RNAcentral's name for it is "Citrus clementina (C. clementina) long non-coding RNA (CCLE_LNC001230)". The record is from RNAcentral. Lineage: Eukaryota; Viridiplantae; Streptophyta; Magnoliopsida; Sapindales; Rutaceae.
UGUCCAUAACGAGUUCUAAAUGCUGUUUUAGGAACAUCGGCCUCUUUAAUUCUAAGCUGAUGAUAUCCCGAGCGCAAAUCGAUCUUAGAAAACACCUUUGCUCCCUGAAGUUGAUCAAACAAGUCAUCGAUGCGUGGAAGUGGAUAUUUAUUACGCACUGUAACUUUAUUCAACUGCCUAUAGUCAAUGCAGAGUCUAAGAGUACCAUCCUUUUUCUUAACAAACAACACCGGAGCUCCCCACAGAGAUACACUAGGUCUAAUAAACUCUUUAUCCACCAAUUCUUGCAGUUGAAUCUUAAGUUCCUUUAGUUCAGCUGGAGCCAUCCUAUACGGUGCUAUAGAUAUAGGAGCCGUCCCAGGGACUAAAUCAAUAGAAAACUCAAUCUCUCUAUGAAGUGGCAUCCCCGGAAGUUCAUCUGGAAAUACAUCUGAAAACUCUUGGACUACUGGAAUAUCCUCCAAUCUCAACUCCCGAACUCCAGUGGCUAUUAUGUAUGCCAGAUAAGCUGAGCAACCUUUCCUUAGUAAGCGUCUUGCAUCAAUGGCCGAUAUGACACAUGAGGGUAAAAUUCUACGCUCACCAUAAAAUUUCACCUCAGUUUCUCCUGGUUUAUUGAACACAACUUCCUUUUUAAAACAAUCCACUGUAGCAUGGUGAGACGCAAGCCAAUCCAUGCCCAAAAUGGCAUCAAAAUCUUGAAUGUCUAGAAUAAUCACAUUCGCCUUAAAUUCAUGCUCGCCCAAUCGAAUCAUGCUAUCUCGAUACACCUUUUCAGCAAGUAAUGACCUUCCGGUAGGUGUACUAACAACUAAACCAUAAUCCAGCAAUUCAGGCUCUCUCUCUAGAUGCAUACUAAAUGUGCGAGAAACAAAAGAAUGCGUGGAUCCAGGAUCAAUAAGAAUAUGAGCAUCAUGACCAAAGAUAGAUAAUGUACCCAUAAUAACUUCUGGUGUAGCAUGAGCCUCCUGCUGUGUCAAGGCAAAAACUCGAGCCUGAGUACGAGGUCGACCAGGUUGACCUCUCUGACUUGGAAAAGUGGUCUGACUCCUCGAUAUAGAACCCCCUGUCUGCAUACCCCUCUGACCCUGAACUGGUCCAACAUGAGAUUGAUACUGUGGGGCUGCCCCUCGAGCAGAACUGUCACCCUGAGAUAAAGUAGGGCAGAAUCUCUUAAUAUGUCCAGGUUGUCCACAUAAAUAACACACAUUGUCUCCGAUACGGCAUUGGCCCUGAUGGUUCCUACCACACGUAGGGCAAGGAGUCUGCUGUAUACUCCUACGGGGUCCUCCGCUAUUCCUGUCAUACUGCCCCUGAGUCCUAACAUUACUCCCCACUGAAGGCUGCGCCGAACUGUAACUGGCGGAUUGUCUCUGAUCUCCCCUGCUACUCAUACUCUGAUUCCUUUGCACACCAGCAGAGUAAUUUGUAUACGCGCCUCUCUUCAGCGGCCUGCUACUCGAGCCACCCUCUGUCCAACUCUGGCUAUGUUUCUGCUUCAGAGUCUGAACUCUACGUCUCUCAGAGAUACUGUGCUCUACUCUCUUAGCUGCCUCAACUACCUCAAUGAACUCAGUGUACCGUGAUGCCGUCACAGUCGUACGAAUCUCAAAUCGGAGACCCUCCUCAAAACGCUUACAUCUCUCCCUCUCAUCACCAACUGCUGAAAUGGCAAAUCUAGAAAGAUCCAAAAAUUUCUUCUCAUACUCUUCCACUGACAUAGCUCCUUGAACCAAUCGAAGGAAUUCACUCCGCUUAAUAUCCUGAUACACAGCCGGAAAAUAAUGAUCGUAGAAUUCCUUACGAAACAUAGCCCAUGUAAGCGCAGCAUGCCCUUGGUAUCUUCGCUCUACUGUUUGCCACCAAUGAUAAGCCCUAUCCUCGAGCAGAAAAGUGGCAAAUGAAAGUCUAUCCUCCUCUGAGCAUCUCAUCACAUCAAAAAUACGUUCUAACUUGAUAAGCCACGACUCUGCCUCAGGUGGAUCACCAGAACCAUUAAAACUCUUUGCCCCUAAACUUCAAACACGCUCGACAGUGUUCACUUGACCGACAUGCGGCUGAGCCUGAUUCUGAACCACUGUAGUCACAAUCUGAGCUAAUCUAUCAAUGGACUGCUCAAUGUUCGGAGCAUUUCCUGGUGCCUGUUGCACAACCUCGUGCGUCGAAGACUCAACUAUUCCCUCAUCAACGGGAUCAUUUUCCCCCGCAGGUACAUCUCCUGGAGUCAACCCAGCUACUAGUCUAGUACGGCCACGACCACGUCCACGUCCGCGGCCACGUCUACUGCUACGACGAAUCAUGAUGGUGCCUACAAAAUAUUAAGUCCGACUUUAAUAAUCAAAACUUAUUCUCUUUACGACAGUAAAGUCUACAGAAUCUAAAACCAUGCUCUGAUACCAACUGAAACGACCCGCCCCGCAACUCCCCAGGGCGAGUCUAUCUAAACUCAUAAAAUCGAAACUAUUCUAUAAAAAUUUCGGCAGAGUCUCCCUUAAAAAUAAAACAUAUCCAAUCCUGCAAUUUACAAAUCAACACUCCCAAAAUAAUUCAAUAUCCAACCAUCCUCCAUAAUCAACUUCUCAAAUCAACAUAUCCAUAUCAUCCUAAGAUUAAAUUACAUCGAUUACAUAAAAUAAUAAAAUAAUACAACUCGCAAAAAUCUCAAAUAUAAUAAUAAUUAAAUCCAUGACUCCUAGCACCAUCAUGUGGCCACAAUAUCACACUAAAGUUCGCUACUGGGUUGACUGAUGUACCUGUAAAUCUCCUGUGGGGGGGGGGGGAAAUAGAAUAAAAGAGGGGUGAGUAUAAAACUCAGUGAGCUCAGUGAGUGGAUAGUAGUUGCUGACAAUUUAAUAAAUUUAUUUAAAAUCAUUUAAUCUUUCUCAAAUCACUUCCUCAAAUCAAUUUCAUAAAUCAAUUUCUCAAAAUAUCAUAAGAACUUGCUCAAACUCAUUUAAUGCAAAUCAGUUCAUUGAAACACUAUAAUACAUAUAUUUGCAUAAAAUCGAUGGAAUCAUAUAAUACACAUCAUAUCAAAUACUGAAUACUAAAAACUGUCAUCAAACAAGUACCCAGGGAAUAAUCUGAUCAUAUCCGGACCUCGACGGACGGGCAAUGACGUACUAUCUGGGUAACGUCACGCCCCGGAGCUACAACGGAUAGAUGGGGACGAUCUCAUCUCAUAUCUCAUAUAUCUGUACUGUGCAUGCAUAAGCCCCCAAAAGGCAAAAGCGCCCGAACACACGGCCCAAAGCCUCUAUGUGUGUUCCGACGGGCCCCAAAGGCCUCUAUCUCAUCUUAUCUGUAUCUCUUUUCUGAUCUCAUAUUAUCUGUUUCUCUGUAUCUGGAGGGAAGGGUACUGUCUAAUGAUUUCAAAAAUAACAUAUACAUAAACAUAGAAUCUCAUAUGAAAUCUCAUUUUCUUUCUAUUCAACAUAUCUCAAAAUCUGCUCAAUUCUAAUAUCAUGCCUUUACUCAAAAACGCUAAUAAAAUCAUUAAUCAAACUCAUUCUCAAUAACAAUAAAGACCGACACAUAGAUAAAAAUUAAUUUGCCGGAAAAUCAUUUAAUCGAAGCAUUAAAUACUUAUCAUAAAAUCAGCAUAUACUAUGAAAAUAGGUUUUGUAUAUUCCACUCACAGUGAUGAUGUCUAGACUCGGUAUCAACAACGUCCGCGGGUUGAUUCUCGUUCGCGGAUGCGGAUCCUCCUAAUCACGGAAACACUAUAAUUAUUCUCUGUAAAUAGAAAUACAACCAAUUUAAUAUAAUAAAUCUCGAAUCCUAUUAACGAUAAACUAUUCCCAUAUGAGUAAAAUUACCAAAAUACCCCCAACAUCAAUAUUUUACCAACUUAUCCUCAAACUUCAUUAUUUUACCAAAUUAUCCUCAUAUUCGUCAAUUACCAUAUUAUCCUCAAUUCAGAUUACAUAAAUUAAUCACAUUCUCCGAAAUUACGAAAUUACCCUCAGGGCAUAAAAUUACCGAAAUGUCCUCAACGUCUUAAAUUACCGAAUUACCCUCGAAAGCAUAAAUUACUUCACUGCUCUCACUCAAAAUUACCAAAAUGUCCACUGAUUACAUAAAAUUACAAAUUCACCCCAAAGUUUCAUGAAUUUACCGAAUUGCCCCUGCCGGUCAACGGUGACCGGACUUCAGUCAACGAUGACGGGGAGCUUAGGUCUGCUAGUUCCGACCUCGGUGAGUGCAAUGGUGGUGGCCGUGAGUCGCCACGCGCGCUACCGGCGGCGGAUCGAAGCUCCAAAGAUCCGCAAGUUUCCGGUGAUCGUUCGGCGGUUUUCCGGCCUCCCUGGUGAUCGUGGUUGGUCGGAAAUUGUUGCUGAAGAUGUGAGGAACUAGUUCCAAGUGGUGGCGCGUCACAAACCCGGCGGAAUCAACGGCGACGGAAAAGGAUCUUGGCCGCGACUUUCGAGCUCAAAUCGUCGGUGUUCUGGUCGGUUUUCGGCGACGAGGACCACGGGGAUACAACGGUCGGCUUCCAAGCUUCAGAUCGGUACCAAGCACGACCGGUAAGGUGGCCGGAAUUAGGAGAUCCUUUUGGGUCAAUAUCGCGGGUCCGGGUCGGGUUUUCGGGUCAACGGGUCAAAAUUCCUCUCUCUCUCUCUCUCUCUUUCACGAGUUCUCUCACUUUGUUUUUGAAUUCAAAAACAGUUCCCCUUCACCAAUUAUACAAUCCGACCCCUUUUUUUUUUUUAAGCUUAAUACAAAUUAAGCUCAAUUCGGACCCGUGAUGAAAAUAAAAUCCGACCAUCGGCGCGUGUAAUCGCGCUCAAUUAUUCUCGAUAAAAUGUCGUGACGAAAUAAAAAAAUUAAUAGCGAAGAAGAAAAUUAAAUCACUCACUUAAUUAAGAAAAUCGGAGUGCAUAUGUUACAAUCCUCCCCCUUUAUAAAAAUUUCGUCCUCGAAAUUUACACAUCUGUUGAGAACAAGUAAGGGUAUUGAGCUCGCAUUAAGUCUUCGCGUUCCCAAGUAGCCUCUUCUCUUGUGUGAUUCCUCCACAACACUUUUACUAGCGGAAUGGUUCUUGAACGCAAAACUUGGUGCUUCUGUUCUAGAAUUUCCACGGGCUCUUCUUCAUAACUCAAGUCUUCUUUCAACUCAAUUGGUUGUCUCGACAACACAUGACUAGGAUCAUACAAAUACUUCCGGAGCAUCGAAACAUGAAAGAUAUCGUGGAUUCUGGAUAACUCAGGUGGUAGAGCUAAUCGAUAUGCCAACGAACCAAUACGCUCCACAAUCUCAUAUGGUCCAAUGUAACGUGGACUCAACUUCCCGCGCUUACCAAAUCGAAGUACCCCUUUCCAAGGAGAUAUUCGUAUGAAAACCUUAUCACCUACUUCAAACUCAAGUUCCCGCCUACGCUUAUCUGCAUAGCUCUUUUGUCUGCUCUGGGCUACCUUUAAUCUUUCCCGAAUAAGCUGUAUCUUCUCACUAGUAUUUUGAACCAAUUCGGGACCAAAACGUUUCCGCUCUCCAACCUCAUCCCAACAUAUGGGAGUUCUGCAUUUCCUUCCAUACAAUGCCUCAUAAGGUGCCAUCUCGAUACUAGCUUGAUAACUGUUAUUAUAAGCAAACUCCAUCAAGGGUGAAUAAAUGUCCCAACUACCCCUAAACUCCAAAAUACAAGCUCGUAACAUAUCCUCCAGGGUUUGAAUAGUACGCUCUGACUGACCAUCAGUCUGUGGGUGAAAAGCUGUACUGAAGUUCAACUUGGUGCCUAAAGCCUUUUGCAAACUUGUCCAGAACUUAAAAGUAAAUCGGGAAUCUCUAUCUGAAACAAUAGACACAGGUGCUCCGUGAAGUCGAACUAUCUCAGCCACAAAAAUAUUCCCCAACUUGUCCAUCGAAUAAGUGGUCUUGAACGGUAAAAAGUGAGUAGAUUUGGUAAGUCGAUCAACAACUACCCAUACACUAUCAUGACCACUCUGAGUACGUGGAAGUCCCGUUACAAAAUCCAUGGUGAUGUGCUCCCAUUUCCACUCAGGGAUAGGAAGCGGUUGAGAAAACCCUGCAGGUCUCUGAUGUUCAGCUUUAAUCUGCUGACAAACUAAACACCGAGAUACAAAUUCAGCUAUCUCUCUCUUCAUACCUUGCCACCAGUAAUGAUCUCUCAAGGUACGGUACAUCUUCGUACUACCAGGAUGCAUAGCAUAAGCUGAACAAUGAGUUUCUUCCAUGAUCUCCUUUUUCAACUCCUUAAUGUCGGGUACGCAAAGUCGAUUAUCCAUAACUAAAACUCCAUCAUCUCUCACUGCAAAAUCAGUUCGUAAGCCUUUUUGCACAUCCUCUUUCAACUUCAGUAACUGCAAAUCCUGAUCUUGCAUCUGAUGAACUUUGUCAAUCAAAGUCGGCCUCACUCGAAAAUUAGUUAUUAAAGCUCUGCAAUUAUCAACUUCCAAUUCAACUCCCAAAUAUCUCAACUCAAUCAAUAACGGCAUGUAUGUCCCUCGCAAGUGAGCUAUAGAGCUAAAAGACUUCCUGCUUAGUGCAUCAGCUACCACAUUCGCUUUGCCCGGAUGAAAAUCAAUGGUACAAUCAUAGUCUUUAAUCAGCUCAAUCCAUCUCCUCUGUCUCAAAUUCAACUCCUUCUGAGUAAACAAAUACUUCAAGCUCUUGUGAUCAGUAAAAAUCUGACAUGUUGCUCCAUACAAGUAAUGCCUCCAUGUCUUGAGUGCAAACACCACUGCUGCUAGCUCUAAAUCAUGAGUUGGGUAAUUUUGUUCAUGCUUCUUAAGUUGUCUUGAAGCAUAAGCCACUACUUUCCCAUACUGCAUUAGCACACAACCCAAUCCUUGCCUGGAUGCAUCACUGUAUACUACAAACCCUUCAUUACCCGAUGGAAGUGUAAGAACUGGUGCUAAAGUAAGACAUGCCUUGAGUUCUUGAAAACCCUUUUCACAAUCAUCAUUCCACUGGAACUUAGCAUUCUUUCUGAUUAACCUUGUCAGAGGAAUAGCAAUCUUGGAGAAUCCUUCCACAAAUCUCCGAUAAUAGCCAGCUAAUCCAAGGAAACUUCGAACUUCAGUCACAUUUGUCGGCCGUUCCCAAUUUACAACUGCUUCGAUCUUUUGAGGAUCAACAUAAAUUCCUUCAGCUGAUAUCACAUGGCCUAGAAAUACUACUUUAUCCAACCAGAACUCACACUUGCUGAACUUAGCGUACAAUUGCUUUUGUCUUAAAGUCUGCAAAACAGUCCACAAGUGCUCCUCAUGUUCCUCCUGACUUCGAGAAUACACCAAAAUAUCGUCGAUAAACACAAUCACAAAUCGAUCCAGAUAAGGGCGAAAUACCCUAUUCAUAAGGUCCAUGAAAGCUGCUGGGGCGUUAGUCAACUCAAAUGGCAUCACCAAGAACUCAUAGUGACCAUAACGAGUCCUGAAUGCUGUUUUAGGAACAUCAGCCUCUUUAAUUCUCAGCUGAUGAUAUCCCGAGCGCAAAUCGAUCUUAGAAAACACAUGCGCUCCCUGAAGUUGAUCAAACAAGUCAUCGAUGCGCGGAAGUGGAUAUUUAUUACGCACUGUAACUUUAUUCAACUGCCUAUAGUCAACGCAGAGUCUAAGAGUACCAUCCUUUUUCUUAACAAACAACACCGGAGCUCCCCACGGAGAUACACUAGGUCUAAUAAACUCUUUAUCCACCAAUUCUUGCAGUUGAAUCUUAAGUUCCUUUAAUUCAGCUGGAGCCAUCCUAUAUGGUGCUAUAGAUAUAGGAGCCGUCCCAGGGACUAAAUCAAUAGAAAACUCAAUCUCUCUAUGAAGUGGCAUCCCCGGAAGUUCAUCUGGAAAUACAUCUGAAAACUCUUGGACUACUGGAAUAUCCUCCAAUCUCAACUCCCGAACUCCAGUGGCUAUUACGUAUGCCAGAUAAGCUGAGCAACCUUUCCUUAGUAAGCGUCUUGCAUCAAUGGCCGAUAUGACACAUGAGGGUAAAAUUCUACGCUCACCACAAAAUUUCACCUCAGUUUCUCUUGGUUUGUUGAACACAACUUCCUUUUUAAAACAAUCCACUGUAGCAUGGUGAGACGCAAGCCAAUCCAUGCCCAAAAUGGCAUCAAAAUCUUGAAUGUCUAGAAUAAUCAAAUUCGCCUUAAAUUCAUGCUCGCCCAAUCGAAUCAUGCUAUCUUGAUACACCUUUUCAGCAAGUAAUGACCCUCCGGUAGGUGUACUAACAACUAAACCAUAAUCCAGCAAUUCAGGCUCUCUCUCUAGAUGCAUACUAAAUGUGCGAGAAACAAAAGAAUGCGUGGAUCCAGGAUCAAUAAGAAUAUGAGCAUCAUGACCAAAGAUAGAUAAUGUACCCAUAAUAACUUCUGGUGUAGCAUGAGCCUCCUGCUGUGUCAAGGCAAAAACUCGAGCCUGAGUACGAGGUCGACCAGGUUGACCUCUCUGACUUGGAAAAGUGGUCUGACUCCUCGAUAUAGAACCCCCUGUCUGCAUACCCCUCUGACCCGGAACUGGUCCAACAUGAGAUUGAUACUGUGGGGCUGCCCCUCGAGUAGAACUGUCACCCUGAGAUAAAGUAGGGCAAAAUCUCUUAAUAUGUCCAGGUUGUCCACAUAAAUAACACACAUUGUCUCCGAUACGGCAUUGGCCCUGAUGGUUCCUACCACACGUAGGGCAAGGAGUCUGUUGUAUACUCCUACGGGGUCCUCCGCUAUUCCUGUCAUACUGCCCCUGAGUCCUAACAUUACUCCCCACUGAAGGCUGCGCCGAACUGUAACUGGCGGUCUGUCUCUGAUCUCCCCUGCUACUCAUACUCUGAUUCCUUUGCACACCAGCAGAGUAAUUUGUAUACGCGCCUCUCUUCGGUGGUCUGCUGCUCGAGCUACCUUCUGCCCAACUCUGGCUACGUUUCUGCUUCAGAGCCUGAACUCUACGUCCCUCAGAGAUACUGUGCUCCACUCUCUUAGCUGCCUCAACUACCUCAAUAAACUCAGUGUACCGUGAUGCCGUCACAGUAGUACGAAUCUCAAAUCGGAGACCCUCCUCAAAACGCUUACAUCUCUCCCUCUCAUCACCAACUGCUGAAAUGGCAAAUCUAGACAAAUCCAGAAAUUUCUUCUCAUACUCUUCCACUGACAUAGCUCCUUGAACCAAUCGAAGGAAUUCACUCCGCUUAAUAUCCUGAUACACAGCCGGAAAAUAAUGAUCGUAGAAUUCCUUACGAAAAAUAGUCCAUGUAAGCGCAGCAUGGCCUUGGUAUCGUCGCUCUACUGUUUGCCACCAAUGAUAAGCUUUAUCCUCGAGCAGAAAAGUGGCAAAUGAAAGUCUAUCCUCCUCUGAGCAUCUCAUCACAUCAAAGAUACGUUCUAACUUGAUAAGCCACGACUCUGCCUCAGGUGGAUCACCAGAACCAUUAAAACUCUUCGCCCCAAGACUUCGAACACGCUCAACAGUGUUCACUUGACCGACAUGCGGCUGAGCCUGAUUCUGAACCACUGUAGUCACAAUCUGAGCUAAUCUAUCAAUAGACUGCUCAAUGUUCGGAGCAUUUCCUGGUGCCUGUUGCACAACCUCGUGCGUCGAAGACUCAACUAUUCCCUCGUCUACGGGAAUAUUUUCCCCCGCAGGUACAUCUCCUGAA